AGCAGCCACGGUAAUUCCAGUUCCAAUAGCGUGUAUUAAAGUUGUUGCAGUUAAAAAGCUCGUAGUUGAAUUUUGGAAUCAAUGGAUCGGUCAUGCCAAUCGGUAUGUACUGGUUUGAUUGGUUCUCACCUUCUAAGGAGCCGUGAUGUCAUUAAUUUGGUGUCGCAGGGAAUUAGGACUGUUACCUUGAAAAAUUAGAGUGUUUAAAGCAAGCUCACGCUUGAAUACAUUAGCAUGGAAUAAUGAAAUAGGACAUUGUAUUCUAUUUUAUUGGUUUUAGGAUCGAUGUAAUGAUUAAUAGGGAUAGUUGGGGGCAUUAGUAUUCAAUUGUCAGAGGUGAAAUUCUUGGAUUUAUUGAAGACUAACUACUGCGAAAGCAUUUGCCAAGGAUGUUUUCAUUAAUCAAGAACGAAAGUUAGGGGAUCGAAGACGAUCAGAUACCGUCGUAGUCUUAACCAUAAACUAUGCCGACUAGGGAUCGGAUGAUGUUAUUUUAAUUGACUCU
RNAcentral lists this ribosomal RNA (505 nucleotides) under uncultured Glomus. Its description in RNAcentral is "bacterial SSU rRNA". It matches the Rfam family "Eukaryotic small subunit ribosomal RNA", at positions 569 to 1078 of the family's 1831-position model. Lineage: Eukaryota; Fungi; Glomeromycota; Glomeromycetes; Glomerales; Glomeraceae. The record is from RNAcentral.